GCAGUCGUGCGGGAAAGGGCUUCGGCCCUAGUACCGCGGCAGACGAGUGAGUAACACGUGAGUAACCUGUCCUCGGGUCCGGGAUAACUACCCGAAAGGGUAGACAAUACCGGAUAAAGUCAUCGGACGCAAGUUCGAUGAUGAAAGGGGGCCUCUGCAUAGCAAGCUCCUGCCUGAGGAGGGGCUCGCGGCCCAUCAGCUAGUUGGUGAGGUAACGGCUCACCAAGGCUACGACGGGUAGCCGGCCUGAGAGGGUGGUCGGCCACGCGGGCACUGAGACACGGGCCCGACUCCUACGGGAGGCAGCAGGGGGGAAUCUUGGGCAAUGGGCGAAAGCCUGACCCAGCGACGCCGCGUGGGGGAAGAAGGCCUUCGGGUCGUAAACCCCUGUUCUGGAGGAAGAACUCCAGAUGGGUGAACAACCUAUCUGGACUGACGGUACUCCAGGAGAAAGCCACGGCUAACUGCGUGCCAGCAGCCGCGGUAAUACGCAGGUGGCGAGCGUUGCCCGGAAUCACUGGGCGUAAAGGGUGCGUAGGCGGCCGGAUAAGUCAUAGGUUAAAGCCCGGAGCUCAACUCCGGAAGGGCCUAUGAUACUGUCUGGCUUGAGGGCCGGAGAGGCUGGCGGAAUUCCCGGUGUAGGGGUGAAAUCCGUAGAUAUCGGGAGGAACACCGGUGGGGAAGCCUGCCAGCUGGACGGAUCCUGACGCUGA
This 713-nucleotide ribosomal RNA is filed under the name uncultured bacterium. RNAcentral's name for it is "bacterial SSU rRNA". It matches the Rfam family "Bacterial small subunit ribosomal RNA", at positions 57 to 749 of the family's 1533-position model. The record is from RNAcentral.